This 254-nucleotide ribosomal RNA is filed under the name uncultured bacterium. RNAcentral describes it as "partial 16S ribosomal RNA". It matches the Rfam family "Bacterial small subunit ribosomal RNA", at positions 524 to 776 of the family's 1533-position model. The record is from RNAcentral.
CACGUAGGGUGCGAGCGUUGUCCGGAAUUAUUGGGCGUAAAGAGCUCGUAGGCGGUGUGUCGCGUCGGCCGUGAAAACCUGCAGCUUAACUGUGGGCUUGCGGUCGAUACGGGCAUCACUGGAGUUCGGCAGGGGAGACUGGAAUUCCUGGUGUAGCGGUGAAAUGCGCAGAUAUCGGGAGGAACACCGGUGGCGAAGGCGGUUCUCUGGGCCUGUACUGACGCUGAGGAGCGAAAGCGUGGGGAGCGAACAGG